UACGUAGGGUGCAAGCGUUAAUCGGAAUUACUGGGCGUAAAGCGUGCGCAGGCGGUGAUGUAAGACAGGUGUGAAAUCCCCGGGCUUAACCUGGGAACUGCAUUUGUGACUGCAUCGCUGGAGUGCGGCAGAGGGGGAUGGAAUUCCGCGUGUAGCAGUGAAAUGCGUAGAUAUGCGGAGGAACACCGAUGGCGAAGGCAGGUCUCUGGGCUGACACUGACGCUCAUGCACGAAGCGUGGGGAGCAAACAGG
Molecule: ribosomal RNA, 252 nt
Filed under: uncultured bacterium
Lineage: Bacteria
Description: partial 16S ribosomal RNA
Rfam family: Bacterial small subunit ribosomal RNA
Source: RNAcentral